Molecule: unclassified non-coding RNA, 291 nt
Filed under: uncultured fungus
Lineage: Eukaryota; Fungi
Also listed under: 1 other name
Description: partial contains 5.8S ribosomal RNA, internal transcribed spacer 2, and large subunit ribosomal RNA
Source: RNAcentral
AACGCACCUUGCACUCUUUGGUAUUCCGAAGAGUAUGCUUGUUUGAGUAUCAUUAAAUUCUCAAACCACUACUUGGUUUUAUAUCAAGUCAGUGGCUUUGGAUGUGGAGGUUGCAGGCUUCUUGUAAAGUCUGCUCUUCUUAAAAGCAUUAGUGGUUAUUGAUUCCACUUCUUGGUGUGAUAAUAUCUACGCCUUGUAAGAACGGAUCUAAUGUAGCUGCUCUCAAACCGUCUUUAUUGACAAUUUGAACCAUUUGAUCUCAAAUCAAGUAGGACUACCCGCUGAACUUAA